CCAAAGGCUCUUUUAAGAGCCACCAAUUUUUUUCACGUAGGAGAG
Molecule: non-coding RNA, 45 nt
Organism: Charadrius vociferus (killdeer)
Lineage: Eukaryota; Metazoa; Chordata; Aves; Charadriiformes; Charadriidae
Source: Rfam